UGGGGAAUAUUGGACAAUGGGGGAAACCCUGAUCCAGCCAUGCCGCGUGUGUGAAGAAGGCCUUUUGGUUGUAAAGCACUUUAAGCAGUGAAGAAGACUCCAUGGUUAAUACCCAUGGACGAUGACAUUAGCUGCAGAAUAAGCACCGGCUAACUCUGUGCCAGCAGUCGCGGUAAUACAGAGGGUGCAAGCGUUAAUCGGAAUUACUGGGCGUAAAGGGAGCGUAGGUGGCUCUAUAAGUCAGAUGUGAGAUCCCCGGGCUUAACCUGGGAACUGCAUCUGAAACUGUAGAGCUAGAGUAUGUGAGAGGAAGGUAGAAUUCCAGGUGUAGCGGUGAAAUGCGUAGAGAUCUGGAGGAAUACCGAUGGCGAAGGCAGCCUUCUGGCAUAAUACUGACACUGAGGCUCGAAAGCGUGGGUAGCAAACAG
Molecule: ribosomal RNA, 428 nt
Filed under: uncultured bacterium
Lineage: Bacteria
Description: bacterial SSU rRNA
Rfam family: Bacterial small subunit ribosomal RNA
Source: RNAcentral